GUGAGUCAAUUAAAUCUCUCUCUCUCUCUCUUUCUUUAAUAAAUUACCCAGUCUCAGGUAGCUAUUUAUAGCAGUGUGAAAGGGGACUAAUACACUGCUCCACCCUGUCUAAGGUUACACUACUGAUCCUAGCAUUGCAUUCUCAUUCCUUUGCUUGUUUUCUUCAGAGAAAUGCCCUUGCUUAAUUAUCUUUAAGUGUAAUCACACACACAUACACGAGAAUGCAAGCUCCAGACAGCAGGGACCAUGUCUGUUACAUUUGCCACUUUAUCCCCAGCAUCUGGAACUGUGCCUAAUGGCAGAGAGUUGCUGCUCAAAGAAUACUCAGCAAUGGGUGGUGAAGGAGUCAGGUGAUCCCAUUAGGAUCACCUAGAAAUACCACGCCGGGCCUGUGCUCCACCCACACAUGCUCCAAAUCGCUGCCUUCCCGCUGCAACUACUGUUUGGUGAAGCCUAGGAUGUCGGUUUGCCCUGUUCUGACUCGUUCACGUUGAUUACUCAAUUAACAGUCCUGCCAGUUUUCUCCAAUGUAAAAUGAAGUCUCGCUCUGUCUCCCAGGCUGGA
Cebus imitator (Panamanian white-faced capuchin) is the source of this 564-nucleotide long non-coding RNA. RefSeq lists it as uncharacterized. The record is from RefSeq and is a predicted model, not a curated record. Lineage: Eukaryota; Metazoa; Chordata; Mammalia; Primates; Cebidae. The transcript has 4 exons.